GACGAACGCUGGCGGCGUGCUUAACACAUGCAAGUCGAACGAUGAAACCUAGCUUGCUAGGUCGAUUAGUGGCGAACGGGUGAGUAACACGUGACUAACCUGCCCCUUUCUCUGGGAUAACGCUCCGAAAGGAGUGCUAAUACCGGAUACUCACAUCGAGGCACAUGCCUUGGUGUGGAAAGUUUUUCGGAAAGGGAUGGAGUCGCGGCCUAUCAGCUUGUUGGUGAGGGAACGGCACACGCAGGCGGCGACGGGUAGCCGGCCAGAGAGGGCGACCGGCCACCCUGGGGCUGGGACACGGCACAGACUCCUACGGGAGGCAGCAGUGGGGAAUAUUGGACAAUGGGCGCAAGCCUGAUGCAGCGACGCCGCGUGAGGGAUGAAGGUCUUCGGAUUGUAAACCUCUUUCAGUAGGGACGAAGCGAAAGUGACGGUACCUAAAGAAGAAGCACCGGCUAACUACGUGCCAGCAGCUGCCGUAA
This 482-nucleotide ribosomal RNA is filed under the name uncultured bacterium. RNAcentral's name for it is "partial 16S ribosomal RNA". It matches the Rfam family "Bacterial small subunit ribosomal RNA", at positions 28 to 523 of the family's 1533-position model. The record is from RNAcentral.